RNAcentral lists this ribosomal RNA (570 nucleotides) under Isochrysis galbana. Its description in RNAcentral is "partial Bacterial large subunit ribosomal RNA". It matches the Rfam family "Bacterial large subunit ribosomal RNA", at positions 1105 to 1676 of the family's 2925-position model. Lineage: Eukaryota; Haptophyta; Isochrysidales; Isochrysidaceae. The record is from RNAcentral.
CUUAGAAGCAGCCACCCUUUAAAGAAAGCGUAAUAGCUCACUAGUCGAGUCGGCCUGCGCGGAAGAUAUAACGGGGCUAAACUAUAAACCGAAGCUGCGGACUUAUCUUAUGAUAAGUGGUAGAGGAGCGUUCUGUAAGUUGAUGAAGGUGGAUCGAGAGGUCUGCUGGAGAUAUCAGAAGUGCGAAUGCUGACAUGAGUAACGACAAAGGGGGUGAAAAACCCCCUCGCCGGAAGACCAAGGGUUCCUGCGCAACGCUAAUCGGCGCAGGGUGAGUCGGCCCCUAAGGCGAGGCUGAAGAGCGUAGUCGAUGGGAAACAGGUUAAUAUUCCUGUACCGGUUUAUAUUGCGAUGGAGUGACGGAGAAAGCUAGGCCAGCAUGGCGAUGGUUGUCCAUGUUUAAGGUAGUAGGCUGGGGAAUUAGGCAAAUCCGGUUCCCUAAGGCCGAGAACUGAUGACGAGAUCCUUUUUACAGGAUUGAAGUGGUUGAUGCUCUGCUUCCAGGAAAACCUUCUAAGCUUCAGAUAUAAAGCGACCGUACCCCAAACCGACACAGGUGGUCAGGUAGAG